AUACGUGCUCCGGGGUCGGUGUAAGUCCGAACCGGCGGUUAUAGUCCGCGACCCGCGCGUUAACGGUUACCACUCUUGUGGAGCCGGAAGCAGACGGUUGAACCGGUGGAAUUCCGGUACCGACAGUUAAAGUCUGGAUGGGAGAAGCACGUAC
This 154-nucleotide non-coding RNA is filed under the name Arthrobacter sp. RNAcentral describes it as "FMN sequence". It matches the Rfam family "FMN riboswitch aptamer (RFN element)". Rfam says of the family: The RFN element is a highly conserved domain that is found frequently in the 5'-untranslated regions of prokaryotic mRNAs that encode for flavin mononucleotide (FMN) biosynthesis and transport proteins. The record is from RNAcentral. Lineage: Bacteria; Bacillati; Actinomycetota; Actinomycetes; Micrococcales; Micrococcaceae.